AACGAACGCUGGCGGCAUGCCUAACACAUGCAAGUCGAACGAGACCUUCGGGUCUAGUGGCGCACGGGUGCGUAACGCGUGGGAACCUGCCCUUAGGUUCGGAAUAACUCCCCGAAAGGGGUGCUAAUACCGGAUAAUGUCUUCGGACCAAAGAUUUAUCGCCUUUGGAUGGGCCCGCGUUGGAUUAGCUAGUUGGUAGGGUAAAAGCCUACCAAGGCGACGAUCCAUAGCUGGUCUGAGAGGAUGAUCAGCCACACUGGGACUGAGACACGGCCCAGACUCCUACGGGAGGCAGCAGUGGGGAAUAUUGGACAAUGGGCGAAAGCCUGAUCCAGCAAAUGCCGCGUGAGUGAUGAAGGCCUUAGGGUUGUAAAGCUCUUUUACCCGGGAUGAUAAUGACAGUACCGGGAGAAUAAGCUCCGGCUAACUCCGUG
Molecule: ribosomal RNA, 434 nt
Filed under: uncultured bacterium
Lineage: Bacteria
Description: partial 16S ribosomal RNA
Rfam family: Bacterial small subunit ribosomal RNA
Source: RNAcentral